RNAcentral lists this ribosomal RNA (320 nucleotides) under uncultured eukaryote. RNAcentral's name for it is "partial 18S ribosomal RNA". It matches the Rfam family "Eukaryotic small subunit ribosomal RNA", at positions 1470 to 1796 of the family's 1831-position model. The record is from RNAcentral.
CCCUUAGAUGUUCUGGGCUGCACGCGCGCUACACUGACACACCCAGCGAGUCUCCUGCCCUGACAGGGUUGGGUAAUCAUUGGAGUGUGUGUCGUGAUGGGGAUAGAGUAUUGCAAUUAUUGCUCUCGAACGAGGAAUUCCUAGUAAGCACAAGUCAGCAGCUUGUGCUGAUUGCGUCCCUGCCCUUUGUACACACCGCCCGUCGCUCCUACCGAGGGGGUGAUCCGGUGAAUGAUUCGGACUUUGGCGUUUCUAGCUGCUAGCAGCGCUGAAGAAAGUUUUGUGAACCUUAUCACUUGGAGGAAGGAGAAGUCGUAACA